CUCAGGUUGCAAGCCGCUCUCUUCAAGUCGCAUGGGGUGCUUUAUGAGGUCCCAGCUGCACCAAACAGGUGCACGCACCAUUACAGAUUGCAAGCCGUUCUCUUUAAGCCACAUGGAAUGUUCCAUGAGGUCCCAGCAACAAAAAUUGCAAGCCGCUCUCUUCAAGCCGCG
This 171-nucleotide long non-coding RNA is filed under the name Ixodes scapularis (black-legged tick). RNAcentral describes it as "uncharacterized LOC115330954". Lineage: Eukaryota; Metazoa; Arthropoda; Arachnida; Ixodida; Ixodidae. The record is from RNAcentral.